UUGCUAAUUCCAAGUGUACCGUUUGCCAAAUUAAAUUAGGGUUCAGUUAUCAACUUAUCUCAUCUGCUCAUCUUCUCGGUUUAGGGAACCAUCAUCUUCUCAGUUGGAGCCGCUACUCCAACGCCUGCGCCAGGACCACCACCUCGUUGUUGCCGUGGUAGCCACCGUGAGUUGGGUGAGUCGCCGUCGCACGCUGAAGUUAGUAGCCACUCAUCUUCUCAUCUUCUCCCAUCGCAGAAUACAGGACUAGCACGUCGAGCACGACAUCAGUGUCGCCGUCGUAGCGUUUGUAAGCUGGGACCAUCUGAAGAUAGGUCCUCUAGUUGCUGCCAGGACAACCACCUCUUCAUCAAUCAUCAUCGUUAGCUUGCCACCGUGACCUUGUUCCUUGAAAAAAAAACUGAAGGACAAGAUGGCUGAGUUUCAGGUUACUUUGUCUAAACUUAUCUCUUUUGUUUUAGAAUUGUGUUUAGUUCGUUUGUAUAUAAUCUGUUACUGUUGCCAAUAAGCAAGGCUUGGAAUUUUAUAUUUUGAAUUGUAAGUAUGAAGUUGACCUACAUACAAGAUUAAGAUUAGAUAGAAGCUAAUAUCAUUUUGUUUGAAAAUUUAGGACUAAAAGCCUAAAAUGGAUUUGACGCAAAUGGACACCAUCAAUUCUUAAUUUGAUGAGCACCAACAAGACAAACAUGCUGCUGAAUUGUUUUAAUCAAGGUUCUGAAAACCGAACCGGCCAUCGAACCGCCCUAGCUACUGGUUUAUUGGUUCAUAGGUUCAACUGGUUCGACCGUAGUUGAACCGAAAAAAUUGUUUUAUAAUAAAAUAAUAAAUAAAAUAUAAAUAAACACAUAAAAACAUAAUUAUAGUCUAAUAUAAAUCUUAAAAUAUCAUCCCAAUUAAAAGUGUUACAUAAAUCAGAAUGUUAUGAUCUCAUUCAAAUACAAAAUCAAAAGUCAAAUAACAAAAACAACCAAUCAAACAUAAACAUGCCAACAUUCAACUGAUUCAAGUUUGAUAAAAAUUUUCACUUACAAUAGAAAGCAUCAAAGCUGUUGAUGGUAAUACAACAGUUCCUCCUGGAACAUAAAGACCCACAUAAUUAAUACUUCUUGCAACUCGCUUGCAUUGAACUCCCUGGUAUUUUCAGAAGACUCAAAACAAAAAUAUUAGUGUAACACCCCAAGAAUGAACAAACACAUAAGCAUAAUUACAAAAUCAAAGGACUUGGCACAAACAUAAUGGUGAAAAUCCAUAAAUCAGGGGCAGUAAUGCACAUCUGACUAGAACCAAAAUAAAUCUUCCACGUAUUUUGUAUUUAAUUUUUCUAGGAAUAUCUAGCCUUUUCCAAAUAAAGUUGGCAAGCAACAAUUGUCAUAAAAGGACACCAUUUAACAUAUCUUUAAAUAAUUUAUUUUCAACUGUUUAAAAAAAUUGACUUAAUAAAACAUGGAUGAUCCAAAGUAAGAAUAAGAAUUGGAAUGGCAUACAUACUUUCAUGUUCUCAACAAUUCUCUUAGGUGUCUUCUGAGCAGCAUGGAAUGCAUAUAUAUUGUUGUAGGCCACAUCAAAAGCUUCCUUAAUAGCUCCAUCAAGCUGUACUCCCAUAAAAUAACAUAAAGUUAAAUAGCAGAAAAAGCUGACUCUUACUCACUCAAACCAGAAAAUUAGUUGCAGAAUUUCAAUUUCAAUUCAAGAGAAACAAACAAACAAAACCUACCUAUCAAUUAGUUGCAGAAUUUCAAUUUCAAUUUCAAUUAUUCAGUUGAAAAAUCAGUUGAAACAGGCAAACAAUUAUUCAAUCAAUUAUUCAAUCACUAUAUUAGUUCACACUUCACAGUUCACAGAAAAAUAAUUAUUCAAUCACUAUAUCACCAUAUCAGUUCACAGUUGAAUGACUUGAAUCAGAGUUCACAAAACUUCACUAUAUUAGUAAACUACAUAUGAUAUAUCACUAUAUCAGAGUUCACAGAACUUCACAGAAUCAAGCAAUUAUUCAAUCAUAAAUUCAUAGUUAAUAAAAAAAUUACCUAGAGAAUACACAAGAGAUAGUGGUUGCGGAAAGGGACAGAGACACCGAGAGACAGAGACAAAGACACCAAGCGACCAAGGGAGACAGAGACACCGAGAGACACUGAGGGAGACAGAGCAGCAGACGGUGGCUUCGAAGGUCGCGAUGGUUGCUGCACGAUGGAGGCUUCGAAGGUUGUGCUGGCUGCUGCGCGAUGGAGGCGGAGUGACGGUGCCUGUUCGAAGGAACGACGACGGCAGCGGCACGAGACGGUGGCUGGACGGAGGUGAGCUCGAUGAGAUUGAGGAGCCCUCCCCCUGACUGAGUGUGUGUGCGAGACUGAGAGGACUGAGGAGCUCGAUUAGGGCUUGGCUGUGCGAUGGAGUAAUAGUUAGGGAUUUUUGGGGAUUGAAACGGCAACGUUUAGUUGCCUUCUCUAAAAACCGAUCGGGUCACGGUUCAGUUCGACCGACCGGUUCACCGGUUCGAUGACGGUUUCUGAAAUCUACGGUUUUACCUAUUGCCCGAACUGCUUUUCUCAACGAUUCAUGAUUCGACCGGUCCGACCGGCCGGUUCGAACCGGUUUUCAGAACAUUGAUUUUAAUGACAUUGUGCACAAGAUUUGGAUUUUUAUGAGUUGCAUUAUGUCUGUAUAAGGAGGCAGGGUUCAAAGUAAAAUUCUAAAGUCCAACUUCUUGCAUUAGACUUAUCUGCCUUUGCUCGUAUUUGUGACUUGAGUAUGCCUUUGUCUUUGUGCCUCUAACUUUGGAGAUUAGAACCACUUCAGAAGAAGUUCCACCAUUCAUAUCACUAUGGUAGUUCUAUUUACUCAAAGAGCCUAAUUGAUCCUGGCUUGGCUACUUAUUUGACUUGGUUUGGUAGAAUGACAAAUGAGAAUGAAGUGCUUAUUCUUUUUGGUAACAUGCCACAUACAAAUGUGUAUUUGUUCAAUCUUUUGUUGUAUUUACAAGAACGUGUUAAUCUUAUUUGUUAUUAUGUAAAAGUUUAAAAUUGAAUUGAUAUUAUACUCUUUUUUUGUUUAUCUAUAUAAAUAAUGGAUUUUUUAUUUAC
This is a non-coding RNA of Arachis ipaensis, 3077 nucleotides long. NCBI's taxonomy places the organism in Eukaryota, Viridiplantae, Streptophyta, Magnoliopsida, Fabales, Fabaceae. The record is from RefSeq and is a predicted model, not a curated record.